This is a small nucleolar RNA of Abrus precatorius (Indian licorice), 107 nucleotides long. Lineage: Eukaryota; Viridiplantae; Streptophyta; Magnoliopsida; Fabales; Fabaceae. The record is from RefSeq and is a predicted model, not a curated record.
AAGUCAUGGUGCGGGCAUCUUCUCAAUAAUUUCCCGAAUCGCUCUCAUGCUUCGAACAAUGAUUCUGUUUCAUUCUGCUGGAAGCAACAUAUUUCUGUCAUCAACUU